Cyprinus carpio carpio is the source of this 1466-nucleotide long non-coding RNA. Lineage: Eukaryota; Metazoa; Chordata; Actinopteri; Cypriniformes; Cyprinidae. The record is from Ensembl.
GGAUCGGUUACCCCUGAAGAUAUUACAAGCUCCAAAAUGAAUCACAUUCAUUUCUCACCGUGCACAAGAUGACAGGAGUGAGACCCAGUUUGAGGGCCGAAUCUCUUCACAACCAUUCACAUGGAAGUGAAGGAUCACAGAGUGAUGUCCAUUCCUGUGACCCGUUGUUAAAGCAUGAGACUCCCUAUUGAUAUCAGAGAUAUUAUCAGCAUCUUAAAGGUCAGUCGUGACGUUCUCUUCUUCCAUGUUUCAUCAGUAUAUGGUAAAGGUGAAGUGUGAUUAUUAUUAUUUUCUUUUUGUUAUGCAGCGACGACUGUAACUGUUAGUUAUUUACCUCCAAAAGUUUGAGUCUGCAUUAGUUUGCAAUCCUGACCAGCCCAACACAACUACAUAAACUUAGACAAUGCCAGAAGUUUACAGUGGGACUGUCUGUUUGUCUGACCAAUGGAAGACGAGCUGUCAGUUCUGGAUCAGUGAGAGAGGCCAGAUGGCAUCAAGCGGAGGGAUCACCCUUUCUCUCUUUCUCUCUGUUCUCUUUCCCUCUCUCUGUCUUUCUCUUUGCCCUGAGCUGAACUGUGCUGGACUGCCAGUUCUGUUCUGGCUUCAGCUUUCUGUGCAGGGCAGCUGAGUUCCCUUUUGGUCUCCUUUGGUGAUGUGAAGCCCCUUGCCCUCUUAUCAUUCUGCUAGCUCCUCACUCCAGUUCAUUUUCAAUGCCUCUUCUCUUCUGUCUCACAGUGAGCUCUCACAGCUCACACUCGGUCUCUCGGCCUCCUACAGAGAGAUCCAUUGACUCGGCCCUGCAAGAACAGUAGUACUGCGGGCUGCUAGGAGCAUCUGCACACACUGAUUAAUGAGCUGCUGUGCUUGGAGGUGCUAAUACGCUAAAAUGAAGGCAGAAUUAAAGUAUUGCAAAGCUUCUAUCAAUAAUGGAAAGAACAAAUUGGAUCCAGCAAUGUUUACUGGAGGGUAAGGAUGGCGCUGUGUUUUCCAACCUGGGGGUCACCAAGCAUUCUUGAUUUUUGGUGUACUGAUUAUAAUUUUAGCCACAAAUAAUUUUCAGUGUAAGAGAGGUUUUUCCUAGCUGACUGAGAAAAAAAAUAAAAUAAAUUAAGUUAAAAAAUUAAAUUAAGUUACAAUCAGGAAUCGAUUGGAUCGGGAAAAUUGACAAGCAUGUUUUUCUUUGGAAUAAUCAAGAAAUCACUCACAAUUAGUAUUGAGAAACAGGUUUAUUGUCAUAAAACUAACACACAAAAAAAAAAAAAAUCUUUAAAUGUGAACAGAAAAAAAAAUAUAUAUAUAUUCUAAUUUUUGUUUAAACUGAAGAAUUAAAAUAACUAAAACAAAACAAACUAAAAUUAAUAAUAAUUAAUAAAUGCUAUUCUGACAUAAUAAAAAAACAACAAAACAUGACAAAAUUAAUAAAAUUACCUAAAAUUUAAGAGAAAACUAAACUUAAUACAUAAAAA